RNAcentral lists this ribosomal RNA (459 nucleotides) under Molomea cincta. RNAcentral's name for it is "partial large subunit ribosomal RNA". Lineage: Eukaryota; Metazoa; Arthropoda; Insecta; Hemiptera; Cicadellidae. The record is from RNAcentral.
UAGUAAAAUUUUGAAGGUAAAUUCUGCCCAAUGAUUAAUUAAAUGGCUGCAGUAUUCUGACUGUGCAAAGGUAGCAUAAUAAUUAGUCUUUUAAUUGAAGGCUGGUAUGAAUGAAUAUAUGAGGGAUUAGUUUUAUUUUUUUUAUUUCUUGAAUUUGAUUUUUAAGUAAGAAAGCUUAAUUUUUUAUUUGGGACGAUAAGACCCUAUAGAACUUUAAAAUUUGAUAUUUUUUAUUAAGUUUUUAGUUUAGGUAAAUUUUUAUUUAUAUUAAUUUUUUUGUUGGGGCGGUAAAUAAAUUUGACUUUAUUUUUUUAAUUCAUUUAUUUAUGUAUUUUUGAUCCAAUUAUUGAUUAAAAGAUUAAGUUACCUUAGGGAUAACAGCGUAAUUUUAAUGGGGAGUUCAUAUUUAUAUUGAAGUUUGCGACCUCGAUGUUGAAUUAAGAUAAGAUUGAGGGGUAG